UUCUAGAGGUAAUUAACAUCUAACAUCUGCAGACUACUUGCCUUGUUACUGCCGUGCCUAUUUUGAAUAUAUAUAUUCAAAAUAGGCACAGAAUUAACAAGGCAAGUAUUCAGUAGAUGUUAGAUAGGAUGAGCUAAGGCUGGAG
RNAcentral lists this microRNA precursor (145 nucleotides) under Populus trichocarpa (black cottonwood). Its description in RNAcentral is "miR6448 stem-loop (ptc-MIR6448)". Lineage: Eukaryota; Viridiplantae; Streptophyta; Magnoliopsida; Malpighiales; Salicaceae. The record is from miRBase by way of RNAcentral.